Herpailurus yagouaroundi (jaguarundi) is the source of this 1008-nucleotide long non-coding RNA. RefSeq lists it as uncharacterized. NCBI's taxonomy places the organism in Eukaryota, Metazoa, Chordata, Mammalia, Carnivora, Felidae. The record is from RefSeq and is a predicted model, not a curated record. The transcript is spliced from 3 exons.
CCCGGGCCCCGCCGGCACGGCGAGGGGGCGGGGCGGGGAGAGGAAAAGGACUUCGACCAGAUUCUUAAAGGCACAGGCGCCUGCCCGUCCCCGCCGCCGAAGUUGGGGGAUAAAACCCGACGGUGUUCUAGAGCUUUCCGAAGGAGGCAACUUUAUAGAUUGCAAAUGCCUCUUCUGCACCGGGUGUGCGGAGCCACGCUUUUCGUUGUGAAAGUGUUAGGGAAACCCUUUCAUUUUGAUCUGGGCUUGUUUCAAAGUUGGGGAUUUUCUGCAGCCACGAAACCCCAUUAGUACUUGGAAUAUGUACUUUUCAGGGUACUUCAGCUCUCCCUCUCGUGCCAUUGCUCACUAAGUUUUUUAUGUUGCUGUGUAUACAAUUUCUUCAUCUGUAACGCGGCAGGUAAAAAGUCCUAAUGGGAUCAUUUGCGGCGUGAAAGGAGACAAACUUCUAUGACAAGACUCUGUUCUCAACACGGCGGCCAGAGGGAUCUUACCACAUGAUGUGUCGUCAGGAUCCUCUCAUCGCAGAGUCGAGGCCAGAUUCCUUCUGUUGGCCUGACCUGAUCUGGCCUGGACCAUCUCUCACACAUCAUCUUCCACUCCCCUGUCCUCACCCGCUCUGCUCCAGAAUCCCUGACCCCUUUGCCAGGCCUCAAACAAGCCAAACGCAUUCAUACUGCGAGGCCUCUGCCUUUGCUGGCUGGCUCUACCCAGAAAGUUCUUCUGCUCCGAUGGCCACACAGUUCACUCCCUUGCUUUUCUAGGUCUGCUCAAAUGUUACGUGACCACGUAGGCCUCCCUGACCGCCUCUCUAAAGUAACCACAUUCCCCAUCCUGGGAAUCCCUAGCCUUACUCCACAGAACUUUUUUCUGCCUGAAAUUAUAUUUAUAUAUGUAUAUAUUUUUGGGGGUGGGGGAAAAGUGGGAGGCAGUCCUGACAUCUAGAAAUUGGACCUGCAUAUUGCAUGAUGUUCUCCUGCUGAAAAUAAAGAAUCUCACGGAGGGACA